GGAUGCGAUCAUACCAGCACUAAUGCACCGGAUCCCAUCAGAACUCCGAAGUUAAGCGUGCUUGGCGAGAGUAGUACUAGGAUGGGUGACCCCUGGGAAGUCCUCGUGUUGCAUCCC
Ribosomal RNA from Ipomoea nil (Japanese morning glory), 117 nucleotides. The record is from Rfam. NCBI's taxonomy places the organism in Eukaryota, Viridiplantae, Streptophyta, Magnoliopsida, Solanales, Convolvulaceae.